AUUGAACGCUGGCGGCAGGCCUAACACAUGCAAGUCGAGCGGAUGAAGGGAGCUUGCUCCUGGAUUCAGCGGCGGACGGGUGAGUAAUGCCUAGGAAUCUGCCUGGUAGUGGGGGAUAACGUCCGGAAACGGGCGCUAAUACCGCAUACGUCCUGAGGGAGGAAGUGGGGGAUCUUCGGACCUCACGCUAUCAGAUGAGCCUAGGUCGGAUUAGCUAGUUGGUGGGGUAAAGACCUACCAAGGCGACGAUCCGUAACUGGUCUGAGAGGAUGAUCAGUCACACUGGAACUGAGACACGGUCCAGACUCCUACGGGAGGCAGCAGUGGGGAAUAUUGGACAAUGGGCGAAAGCCUGAUCCAGCCAUGCCGCGUGUGUGAAGAAGGUCUUCGGAUUGUAAAGCACUUUAAGUUGGGAGGAAGGGCAGUAAGUUAAUACCUUGCUGUUUUGACGUUACCAACAGAAUAAGCACCGGCUAACUUCGUG
RNAcentral lists this ribosomal RNA (484 nucleotides) under uncultured bacterium. RNAcentral describes it as "partial 16S ribosomal RNA". It matches the Rfam family "Bacterial small subunit ribosomal RNA", at positions 30 to 507 of the family's 1533-position model. The record is from RNAcentral.